This 254-nucleotide ribosomal RNA is filed under the name uncultured bacterium. RNAcentral's name for it is "partial 16S ribosomal RNA". It matches the Rfam family "Bacterial small subunit ribosomal RNA", at positions 524 to 776 of the family's 1533-position model. The record is from RNAcentral.
UACGUAGGGGCCAAGCGUUGUCCGGAUUUAUUGGGCGUAAAGAGCUCGUAGGCGGUUCGGCAAGUCAGCUGUGAAAUCUCCACGCUCAACGUGGAGGGGUCAGCUGAUACUGCUGUGACUUGAGUCCGGUAGGGGAGUGUGGAAUUCCCGGUGUAGCGGUGAAAUGCGCAGAUAUCGGGAGGAACACCAGUGGCGAAGGCGGCUCACUGGCCCGGUACUGACGCUGAGGUGCGAAAGCGUGGGGAGCAAACAGG